This 488-nucleotide ribosomal RNA is filed under the name uncultured bacterium. RNAcentral's name for it is "partial 16S ribosomal RNA". It matches the Rfam family "Bacterial small subunit ribosomal RNA", at positions 28 to 507 of the family's 1533-position model. The record is from RNAcentral.
GACGAACGCUGGCGGCGUGCUUAACACAUGCAAGUCGAACGAAAAUACCAAGCUUGCUUGGUUGAUUAGUGGCGAACGGGUGAGUAACACGUGAGUAACCUCCCCCUUACUUUCCUGGAUAACUGUUCGAAAGGGUAGCUAAUACGGCAUAUUCUUACCAGUUUGCUUGGGUUGGCUUGGAAAGGUUGUUUUUCUGGUUACGAGUGGGCUCGCGGCCUAUUUGCUUGUUGGUGGGGUGAUGGCCUACCAAGGCCUUGACGGGUAGCCGGCCUGAGAGGGUGGACGGUCAGACUGGGACUGGGAUACGGCCCAGACUCCUACGGGAGGCAGCAGUGGGGAAUAUUGCGCAAUGGGCGCAAGCCUGAUGCAGCGACGCCGCGUGAGAGAUGAAGGCCUUCGGGUUGUAAACCUCUUUCGUCAGGGAACAAGGCACUGCUUUUGUGGUGGUGUUGAGGGUACCUGGAUAAGAAGCGCCGGCUAACUACGUG